RNAcentral lists this ribosomal RNA (518 nucleotides) under Aureobasidium pullulans. RNAcentral describes it as "eukaryotic LSU rRNA". It matches the Rfam family "Eukaryotic large subunit ribosomal RNA", at positions 95 to 628 of the family's 3401-position model. Lineage: Eukaryota; Fungi; Ascomycota; Dothideomycetes; Dothideales; Saccotheciaceae. The record is from RNAcentral.
GAAGCGGCAACAGCUCAAAUUUGAAAGCUAGCCUUCGGGUUCGCAUUGUAAUUUGUAGAGGAUGAUUUGGGGAAGCCGCCUGUCUAAGUUCCUUGGAACAGGACGUCAUAGAGGGUGAGAAUCCCGUAUGUGACAGGAAAUGGCACCCUAUGUAAAUCUCCUUCGACGAGUCGAGUUGUUUGGGAAUGCAGCUCUAAAUGGGAGGUAAAUUUCUUCUAAAGCUAAAUAUUGGCGAGAGACCGAUAGCGCACAAGUAGAGUGAUCGAAAGAUGAAAAGCACUUUGGAAAGAGAGUUAAAAAGCACGUGAAAUUGUUGAAAGGGAAGCGCUUGCAAUCAGACUUGUUUAAACUGUUCGGCCGGUCUUCUGACCGGUUUACUCAGUUUGGACAGGCCAGCAUCAGUUUCGGCGGCCGGAUAAAGGCUCUGGGAAUGUGGCCUCCACUUCGGUGGAGGUGUUAUAGCCCAGGGUGUAAUACGGCCAGCCGGGACUGAGGUCCGCGCUUCGGCUAGGAUGCUG